CCUACGGGAGGCAGCAGUGGGGAAUAUUGGGCAAUGGAGGCAACUCUGACCCAGCAACGCCGCGUGAGCGAUGAAGGUCUUCGGAUUGUAAAGCUCUGUCGCAGGGGACGAAGUAUGACGGUACCCUGUAAGAAAGCCCCGGCAAACUACGUACCAGAAGCCGCGGUAAUACGUAGGGGGCUAGCGUUGUCCGGAUUUACUGGGCGUAAAGGGAGGGUAUACGGCUUUGCAAGUUCAGUGUGAAAGCCUGCGGCUUAACCGAAGAAUUGCACUUAAAACUGACUGGCUAGAGUGCAGGAGAGGUGAGUGGAAUUCCUGGUGUAGCGGUGGAAUGCGUAGAUAUUAGGAGGAACCCCAGAGGCGAAGGCGGCUCACUGGACUGUAACUGACGUUGAGGCUCGAAAGCGUGGGGAGCAAACAGGAUUAGAUACCCGAGUAGUC
Molecule: ribosomal RNA, 441 nt
Filed under: uncultured bacterium
Lineage: Bacteria
Description: partial 16S ribosomal RNA
Rfam family: Bacterial small subunit ribosomal RNA
Source: RNAcentral